RNAcentral lists this ribosomal RNA (336 nucleotides) under uncultured bacterium. Its description in RNAcentral is "bacterial SSU rRNA". It matches the Rfam family "Bacterial small subunit ribosomal RNA", at positions 568 to 899 of the family's 1533-position model. The record is from RNAcentral.
CGCGUAGGUGGUAGUGUAAGUCUGGGGUGGAAUCCCAGGGCUCAACCCUGGAACUGCCUUGGAAACUGCAUUACUUGAGUCAGUGAGGGGAGGGUAGAAUCCCUGGUGUAGCGGUGAAAUGCGUAGAUAUCAGGAGGAAGGCCUGUGGCGAAGGCGGCCCUCUGGCGCUGGACUGACACUGAGGCGCGAAAGCGUGGGGAGCAAACAGGAUUAGAUACCCUGGUAGUCCACGCCCUAAACGGUGGGCACUAGGUGUAGGGCUCGUAAGGGUUCUGUGCCGAAGGGAAACCAUUAAGUCGCCCCCGCCUGGGGGAGUACGGCCGCGAAAGGUUGAAA